Molecule: unclassified non-coding RNA, 151 nt
Filed under: uncultured Ascomycota
Lineage: Eukaryota; Fungi; Ascomycota
Description: sequence contains ITS2
Source: RNAcentral
CAACCCCUAAGCCCGGCUUAGUGUUGGGGCUCCGCCUCUACGGCGGUCCCCUAAAUCUAGCGUGCGGAUCCGCGGUGAUCUCUGAGCGUAGUAAUUACUCCUCGCUCCUGAGCAGCCGCGCCUUCGGCCGUAAAACCCCCCAAUUUAUAGU